This 460-nucleotide ribosomal RNA is filed under the name uncultured bacterium. RNAcentral describes it as "bacterial SSU rRNA". It matches the Rfam family "Bacterial small subunit ribosomal RNA", at positions 8 to 490 of the family's 1533-position model. The record is from RNAcentral.
AGAGUUUGAUCCUGGCUCAGAUUGAACGCUGGCGGCAUGCCUUACACAUGCAAGUCGAACGGCAGCGGACCUUCGGGUGCCGGCGAGUGGCGAACGGGUGAGUAAUGUAUCGGAACGUACCUUUCAGUGGGGGAUAACGUAGCGAAAGUUACGCUAAUACCGCAUAUUCUGUGAGCAGGAAAGCAGGGGAUCGCAAGACCUUGCGCUGAUUGAGCGGCCGAUAUCAGAUUAGCUAGUUGGUGAGGUAAAGGCUCACCAAGGCGACGAUCUGUAGCGGGUCUGAGAGGAUGAUCCGCCACACUGGAACUGAGACACGGUCCAGACUCCUACGGGAGGCAGCAGUGAGGGAUUUUGCGCAAUGGGCGAAAGCCUGACGCAGCAACGCCGCGUGAGGGACGACGGCCUUCGGGUUGUAAACCUCUGUCAGCAGGGAAGAGAACGGACGUACCUGCUGAGGAAG